RNAcentral lists this transfer RNA (86 nucleotides) under Nitrospirota bacterium. RNAcentral describes it as "Nitrospirae bacterium (groundwater metagenome) tRNA-Leu". It matches the Rfam family "tRNA". Rfam says of the family: Transfer RNA (tRNA) molecules are approximately 80 nucleotides in length. Lineage: Bacteria; Pseudomonadati; Nitrospirota. The record is from RNAcentral.
GCCGGAGUGGCGGAAUUGGCAGACGCAAGGGACUUAAAAUCCCUCGGGUGGUGACAUCCGUACCGGUUCAAGUCCGGUCUCCGGCA